UUGUCAAACGAUAACAUCCGUGAAUAUUCUGUCAAAAUUCAUAUACACAUGUGAUGUAAUUUUUUCUAAAAUUUAAUUUUACCCUUACCAGCAGCAAACCGAACUAAUUCGAUCCUUAACCGGUGACGAUAGCCCCCUCCACCUCCGGCCCUCUCUCUCUCUCCUUCUUCACCUUUGUUCUCUCUCCCUAUUUUCCCUGUUUCAUCACCCCGCUGCAGCGGUGGACCCCUCUCUCCCCUGUUUCUCCCGGCUUUGGGCACAAGUCGUAUCUCAUUUGAAGUUCUUCAACAUGCAUGUUAGGGAGUCGUGAGUAAAUGCUACCUACUUCAGUUUCCCCGUCAUCACCAACACCUCCGCCUCCCCCACCACCACCACUACCAUCGUUCAGAGACGAGAGACGAUGCCAACGAAGAUUUCUUAGGGAUGAGAAAUUGACCAAGGGCUUGGAGAGACUUAAUGAUGUUACCAAAAACAAGGGCUUCUUUUUUUGGAAAUUUUUAGAAGACUUCAUCAAAAUAAAUGAAAAACUGAUUUUCUUGACCGUGGAUUCUUGAUUAUCGAUAGCCUGAUACAAUGGGAGCGUAGAAAGCUCUACGGCUGUGCAAGGCCGAGAAAAGAAUAGAAACACACUUAGAAUCCAAAGAGACAGUUUGUGCUAGGGGAAACAAAUGAGUUUCUGUGAAGUAAUCGUAGUUUCAACUAUUCCACUGCCAGUUCGAAUAUCUGCAAGUGGGCUUUGGAGAAUAACGAUGUGCAACAACAAGAAGAACAAGAAGAAGAGAAAUUCAAAAUGGGGUUGGUCAGUUCAUUUUACUGUCAUUAGGAUAAUAGAUGUUGGGUUUUGACACGGUGGUGGGAUACCAUAUCUUCCUGUAGUUAAAGUUGAAGAGAAGAACCAAAACUACAAUUAAGGGUGAGCAAUCAAAGAAUACGGGGGCUUUGAGCAACUUCAACAACAACAUCUCCCCCCUCCUCUCAGAGAGAGCGGCGGUUCCAGCGGCGAAGAUUGGAAGCGGCGUUUUCGACUGGGCAUCGGAAAUAGAACCGCUGCGUUACAGCUUAGAGGGUGGUCGACAAGGCUCUCUCAUUUUUGAGCUCGACAGCCUCUCUAUCUCUUUUAUUCUCUCCCUUCUCUUUUCCCUCUUUCUCCCCUUCCUCUUUUCUCUCACGGCCGUCUACAUUCUCGGCUCUACUGCAGAUUUGAAGCCAUUUCCGAAAACAGAUCUGAAGCCACCGGCUCUACCAUCAUCAAAGCUCUUAGUGAAGAAAUAGGAAUUGAGGCCGAAGCUGGUAGCGCCUACUCUUGAGGAAGUUUCAAUGAUGUGCUCUGAGAGCUUCGUCGCUCUUUGAUAUACAUAGAAUAUCAAUGAAUUGGAUUGGGGUUUUUUGACAGAGGAGAUUGGAGUUUGAGAUACCUUUAGGGGAUCUUUUGCAUGAAAAAACCUUGGAGAUCUUCAAGGAGUCACAGCGUUUCUGAUGCUACUGGAGUUUCUUUGGGGCAUUUUCUACAGCAUCAAAUCUAGCGGGGGUGUGGCAUUUCAGAGCUCCACCCAGAAAGACCUCCGAUAGACGUUGCUCGAACAGUCUCCGAAGAACUACAUCUCUACAAGGUGCAUACCUCUCCGCGGUCUCGUGGAUGAACGAAACCCUCCAAACCAUCUUGUUACUCGGCCAAAUCCAUUUAGAGGAGGGGGGGAACGAAGAGGGGAAGGGGUGGAGAAAGAAGAUCACCACCGCUAUGGAAGUUGCAGCGGCGGCGGUGAUUUUGAUCAAUGAAGACCAGAUUGGACGCGGGCGGUGAAGACCAGACAAAGGAAGAAUUGGAGGAGCUUUCAAGGUUCCCUGGUAUUUCGGAUGGCAAUUACAGUUUUCCGGCAUUGUAGAUGGACGUUACAAUUCUUCGGGUUCUUUGAGUGGCAGCUCGCAAUCGACAGUCCUCUAAUGUGUUGGGUGGCAGUUGCAGAUGAUGCUGUCUUUUGCAGUUUGGUUUGGAGUUGUUGGAGGUUACAAAUCAUGGCUUGUGGCUUUGUAACCUCCUUUCUCAGUUUCGGUUUUAGUUGGAAACUGUUCUUGUCAGUUUGUUCGUCAGUUAUGGUGAUUUGGAGAUGUACUUAUCAACUUCUGUUGAUGAUAUUAAAUCACCUUAUUUUGAUUGUAGAAGUUA
Non-coding RNA from Nelumbo nucifera (sacred lotus), 2164 nucleotides. NCBI's taxonomy places the organism in Eukaryota, Viridiplantae, Streptophyta, Magnoliopsida, Proteales, Nelumbonaceae. The record is from RefSeq and is a predicted model, not a curated record.